AACUAAGUUUUUUUUUUUUUUUUGAAUUAUUACAGGUGGGGAUGGUCCUGAAGGAAUAGUUUUAGAAGAAGUUCGAGAACAUUGCCAACUGCAAGAAAGAGUGACUCUUCUUGGAGCCGUAAAGCAUGUAAAUGUCCGAGAUGUUCUUGUAAAGGGUGGUAUCUACCUGAAUGCAUCACUUACAGAAGCAUUUUGUAUUGCAAUUUUAGAAGCAGCUUGUUGUGGACUUCAAGUUGUGAGCAUUAGUGUUGGUGGUGUGCCUGAAGUUUUGCCCCCCGAACUUGUUUGGUUAACUGAACCAACUGUCAUUGGUAAAUAUAAGUUUGACUGUCUAAAUUUGAAUUUUUCUGAAAAAUGAUCAAGCAUAUUAAAUUAAUUUUGUGGUAUAUAUUUUAAGAAUAUUGUUUUCAUAUGCUUAAUUUAUUUUUCAACUUCUUAACUGCCUCAAACUAUAAUCAGGUCUCAUACCUUAGGGUGCGUAGCGUUUUUAAAAAGUGCUUAAAGGUGCUAAUUUUUUAUUUAUGUUUUUAAAAGCCCUUAAAGGUACUU
Parasteatoda tepidariorum (common house spider) is the source of this 549-nucleotide non-coding RNA. The record is from RefSeq and is a predicted model, not a curated record. Lineage: Eukaryota; Metazoa; Arthropoda; Arachnida; Araneae; Theridiidae.